CUCCGGGGCGCUCUGCAGCUUCAUGCAAUGGCUUCUGUCCCUCGGGUUAGUUCAGGUUCCUUAAGGCCCAAUGCAGCAAUGUGUAGUGAGUGCCCUCGCUAACCUCUUGAGAGUAGGAGGCUCAGCAGACUCCUGUGGGAUCAAGCUCUUUGUAUUGUUUCUCUUCUGGCUUUAGCAAUUAAAUGAUCUUUGAAAUUAAUCAUGAAAAGCUGUUGCUGUGACGGCACAGUCAAAUCCAGCCAUCGAGCAGGUACGUUCUCUGCAUGCUUCCUCACCCAGCUCGGCAUGUGCCUCAUCAUCCUUGCCUGCAACACCUCUUAGGGUUCCGAUCCUCGGGCUCCUCUGAGCAAUUGUGCCACACUGUGUGUUGUGGUUUGAAGUGGCCGCAUCUACUAAGGUACCACUUAGCAAUCACAGUUUGUGACCAAAGUCUGAGUUGUACUUGGAUCCUUCCUCUGCACAGGAGCAUCGCACACAAAAGCACUCCUGCGAGGUAAGUUUUAAAGCAAAAUUCCACUCCACCCUGCUCUUUCAUUCUCUCUUUCACGGAUUAUCUGUUCUGCUUAUUAGAGUGGCAGCUUUAGAGGUGAAGUCGUCUGGAUACAGGCCAGGCGCUAACCCUGCACUUGCCAUUCAGAAUCAACUUUUACAUAACCCUAGUGGUGUCCGCAAAUGAUGGACAGGAAAAUCGAGGUGGUUUCUGCAACUGUGUUUGCAAAGAGUUUGAAAGUGUAUAUAGUGAUGUUCUGCAGCCAGAGACGCUAACGUCCCGCUGUACAGUACUACAAUAGAAGUGUGAGUUUCUCAGUGGCAUGAUAACCGCAAAGCCUAGUUUUAACCAUUUAAAUGCUUAUUCUUCUAAACAAGCUUGUCUUUAAAAAAAAAAAGAAAAAAAGAAAUAAAACUGCAGUUUGUCAUUGAAAAUGACAACGCCUGCAAUGUAAGACUUUUCUCAUGUGCUCUCAAUUGUACCUUCAAGCAAUAAAUUACCAGAUACAUAUAUUUAUAAAGGUACUGAUAGGGAAGUAGCAUAAUUUAGUUCUAGUUUAAAGGGUACUCCCUGAUUUACCUUCUCAAAUAUGCUGGAAACCCCACCUUCAGCGUUAGCCCUUUUUAAGGAAAUAGUGGUGAAGUGUGAAACACCAGUUCACAUAUUCCCCCAGUGGAGGGAAGAAGAUGCUCCAGAGGCUUUAUGCUGUCCCUGAUCAUAGCUGGAGCUUCUUCUUGUUCUACGUAGAUUUCAGAAAUUAAAUAUUUUUAUUCUUACUUGUUAUGUGUUUGCAUGUAUUGCCCAGAUAUACAGGAUGCACUUUGAGGGGGAUGAUGUGGAUGUUUGUUUUCAUAAGUUACAAUGAUUUUACUGGCUUGUAAAUGUCACUACAGCUCAUGAAAAUAAAAUGUGUGCAGCUCCUAUCGGGCAUGAAUUGCAUUUAUUGUGAACGAAUGGAGUAGCUCUUCAUUUUAAGAAUAAACUUUCAUUUUGCAGUAAUUUUACAAUACUUCCUGUGUAUAAAUACAGGAUGAUUGGUAGGGUUAUGGCCUAGUUUUUCAGGAUUUGUAUACAGCUGUCAGUGUCUGGUGCUGAGUGUCUUCCAUCUCAAGUAAUGCCAAUGAGAGUUUAGUGCCUAACUCCUUAGACCUUUUGAAAGUUCCCACCAUACCUCUUGGCUUACAUGCAAUGUUGAUGCAGUGCUCAUGACUGAAGACAAGUAUAUUACUGAUGACAUGGCUAUGACAGGUAUACUUGUCGGCCAGGAGAGUAUUCUUGCACAAAUUCAUUGUGUACAUGUCACUCCCACUGUAUGAAAUUACAUCUAAGACACCAACUAGCUGAGUACAUUUCUUUUCUCAGAGCUUUACAAGUGAAGGAGGAGGCCUGGGCACUCAUUCAUAUCUGUGAUUUAAGGCACUUUUGCUGACUUAUAGAUCACUGACAAAAAAAAUGUAUUCUUAGGCUAAUUGUUUGUUCUUUUUAUAUAGUGGUUAUCAUUAAAAAGUCAACAUUUGCCAGCAUUUGCCAUCAGUUACCACAGCGCACAUUCUGAGAAAAUCACUGUUCUUCCCCUAUACUUACAAUAUGAUGGAUCUCUGGUAACAUCUAGCAAAUGUUACCUUUUUGUUGUCUUCUGCUGUAUUUGCAUAUACAGGAAAAUGCAGAGUAUAUACAUAGAUAUGCAGUAUAACAUAUAUCACAUCAAAGUUAUAUUCUGUAUGUAGUUUUAUCAGUGUUUUAUUAGUUUGGUGAUAGCAAUUCUCACAUCUAGCUAUAUUUGUUAUAAAUGCACAUGCCUGCUAAUAAAAGCUAGCUGCACAGCUUAAAACACAGAAGUUGAAUUGAAAUAGACUUUAUAUGUGUGUAUUUACAGUAUUUGAAGAUAGACAUUUUAGUUUCUUAAAGUUUCCUCCUUUGAAAAGUUUGUUAGUGCAAGUUUGAGACUUCCUGUUAGCUUAGUGCUCAUGUUAAUUAUGUCUCUGUGUAAUCUGUGCUCUAAAGUAUUCCACACCAACUGAUGUUUCUACUGGCAGUUGAAAAAGUACCAUGGGAACAAUAGGUUGUUAGUGUCACUGGGGAGCUUUAACCACAAACAAGUCAUGAUGAGCUCAGGUCCAGUUAAAAUUAAGUCUUCAUCUUCAGUUUAACCAACUUCUAAAGCAAAAGAAAAUAAUGCUGAUUUAAAGUAAGUCUCUGAGCUUGAUCUAGCCACUAGCUAUCGUCUAGUCUCACUUAACUCUCAUGCUUUCAUGCAAUGGAUUUGACCCUUAUCUAAGUAAAACAAGUGCCAUGUGCAUUUAGGAUGCUCUGUAAAUGAUUAUUAAUAAUAAUGCAGUCUCAUGUAUCCGAAAGCUAUUAAAACAUCAUGCACUGGCAAAAUUACAUAAGGAUGCUAAUGUUUUAAAGGAAUCCAGCUUAAAAUAUUAUAAACCCAUCAAUCUCUUCUCGCACACAUUCCGCUUAAAAGUUUAUCAUAAUUCAGUGGUGUCAUGAAAACUACAGGUCCCAUCAUGCAGUUCUCCUUCCUGGUCUGAGAGGCCAGUCUGGAUAGGAGCUGCAACUGAUUUCUGUUUAAUGCAAAUUUGAGGCAGGCCUUUGGUUCUUGGCAAGACACCAGUGAAGUCCUUGGUUGAGCAAAGUUUGGGUGCCCCUGGCAAAGAUUCUAAGCAUCACAGCUGUUCCUAGCUAUUCUGAAUGCUAAGUGAAGCAUAAGAAGCAGGCCAAACCCCUUGCACUGGCAUGUUCACCUCUGUUAGACAGCCGUAGGGUUUUAAAAAUAAAGAAAUGGAGCAUGCUUUCUGGCCAAAAAUAAAUGAAAUGACCUUGUGUUUCUCAUCUAGCUGCUCUGGUUACAGUAACUCUUGGUACUUGGCUCAUGCCGUGCUAUGUUUGUGAACAUCAUUAGGCUCUGCAGUGAGAAGGUGUGUCCAAAGCCCUUCCUAGGCACAUAAUCGCUGACAGAGAAUUAAAGCCCGUGGCUGUCAGUAGCAUCUAAGCUUGUGUUUCGAAUAAAGUCCACUUGAGCUCAUCUGCUAAAAGUCCAGCAGAGCAAGACUGAGUUCCUAGAUGGGAGUGUAGGGGAAGGCUGCCCUCUGUAGGCAGGGUGGGUAGUUCUUCAUAUCAACUCUGAGCCAGCUGUUACAGCUGGCACCAACAGAGCCCAUGACACAUAAAUGGGCUAGAGUGGCAGCCAGCCGAAUGCCUUCCACAGCCUCCCUUUGCUGAAUCCCAUUGCAGCUGUAGGACCUCCUGAGGUAGCAGUUUGCUGGUCCAGUGACCAACACCACAUUUCUUAAAAGAAGCCAAAAUGUCUGUCAUGUCUCCAUCCAGCUCCCACAAGCUACCUGGAGCUUUUUCCUUCCCAGUGUUUGCAUCUUUGUAUGCUGUGUUAAUCUAGCUAGUGUAAUGGAGAGGCAUCUCACUAAUUUACUAGCUGAAACGUGGAUCAGUCUCUCUUUAGAGAGAGAGUUAGGUAACUACUUCUCUAGCCAAAGAUCAUGUUACGUAUGGAUAUACAUUCCCCUGGGCAUCUCCCUUUGGAAGUAGAGUCGGUCAUUCACUUAGGUUACGGAUUGCGGGCAAAAUGACAUCUCAAGUGCAGACCAAACAGUUGUAUCUUGGAGGAAAUUUUUUAUUUUUUUUUUGCCAGUUGCACUCUGAAUUCGCUAUACGCUUCUAAAGCCACAUGACCCAGAACAACAAAACCCACAUGCCAUCAGUGAAGGUAUUCUGAAGCAAAGUAAGGAUGACGAUCUGUGUCUUGGGAGGACAAUGUUGUGUUUCCUUGCUUACGGCAUCCAGAUACUAUUUUGCUCUGUGCAUUAGAAAUGCAAAGUGUUGGUCAGGUUUGAUUUGUCCAUCCUGCAUAACCAUUUGCAUGGUACCCCAGAGAUGCUCUCUGGUACUUGUUUGGACUCCUGAAUAAUGCUAGCCGGGGAUGGCAUUUGAGAAUUGCCUUCUUACGGUUUAAUCAGCAGUUACAAUUGCCUUUAUUUUAUAGGGAGGAAUAGAUGUUGGUGCCAUCAUAAGUGUAAAGCAUCGAAAUCCAUUACAGUAAUGGCAGCAGGAAGCAUGACUAUGUUCGAGAUGUCGCUUUCACCAUAAAACAUGUUGACUGUGGCGGUAACUCUUCAUAGCCAGACAGAGCAUACAGUGUGUCCCUUUCGGCAUUAGCUGCAACGGGACAUUUUUGGUGUAUUAAUAUUUACCAGGGUGCUGUUCAGCAGCAUAUGAGCGCCCUUCCUUUUUGGCCCACACACAUCACAGAUGACUUAUUGUCAACCACUCCAUCAAACUGACGCUGCAGUCAUGUGUCUUGUGGUGUCUUGGGAGACAUUGUCCUAGCUAAAUAUGCCAAGUGACAGGACUUGGAGCACUUCCUUGGGAGACUACGUCACAAUAUUUCAGCUAGAUUGGGUAUAAUGAGGGCAGCAUUUUUACUACAAAUAAAGGUGGUGUCAUUUUUUUUUUGAAGUAUCACAUUCCACGUUGUUGUUUUUGUUCAGCCACAAUGCACAGCUGCUGCUGGUGUGCUUCUACCAAUACUAAGCACUUAGCAUUUCUUCAUAAUAUUAUUUCUCUGGUGAAACCCUUAGGAUGUCAGACUGUAAAUAAAUACCCGUUUGUAUAAAACAUUUUUAAAACAAGAGAUCUGAAAGGAGCACAUUCAUUGUUAAGCUCCACAAACAAAAUCGACUCCUCUUUUCUCUGCCCAAUGUCCUGUUACAACUUAAGAAACUUUCCAAAUCAUUAACUACAAAUGAAAACAAAAUAUGUUGCAUAGACAUGACUCCUCUCCGCUCCAUGAUGCGUAUGUGGCAUCCUGGCUGGAUCCAGUGAUGGGAGGGAUACUGGGUGCGCAGCCAGUAUAUGUGGAGUGGAUGAGAUAUAUAGGGGUAUGUUGCCCUACAGGCUGAGGUUUCUGAUUUACCCCUGGAGAACAAGUAAGAUCUGAUGGAAUUUUCCUUCUGGUUGGGAAGGAUGAGUAGGGACUUUUGGAGCCUCUGGCUCAUCAUAAGUGGGGAAUUCUGGGCUGUGUGUGGAGAGUAAGACGUGAUUAUGUACUUGCCCACCUGCCUUGAACGAUUCCAAGCCUUGAUAUUGAUGUGGAGCCUUUUCCAAAAGGACUCUUGUUGAAAUGUGACCCUAUCUGCAGGUUGUUGAUACAGCCAAUGUGUUGUGUUCAGCUGAUUGUUUUAUUCCUCCCCCCUUUGAAUUCUGGGAAAUGGAGGAGGUUGUCACGGCUUCGUUGUACAUUCCCUUUAGGGUCCUAACCAUGGUUGGUUCAGUCGCUCCCCCCUUCAUAUUUGUGUCAAGAAGGCUGGCAGUUCUCGUGGUCUAUUGCAUACUGUUGUCCAGGUGGCAUCUGUCCUCUUGAACUGUCUGAGGGGAGUUUGCUUGCUGUGCUACUGCUUGUUUCCCCUAGCAUCAGUCAAGAUACAAAAUGUCAGUGAAUGCUCUUUUGAAAAACAAAGCUUGGGAAUUUAGCUUCUUGCCGAUCAAAUGUGAUCAGCGUUGAUGCAGUUUUUCUACGUAUAUGAAUUUCUCCAAUCAAAUUUCUCAACUAAGAUCAUGGAGACUUUUCUCUAAUAUUGUGUUGCCUUGAUUCUUUGCACUUAAAUACGCCUGUUUUACCUUUCACAGAAUUGCAUGGGCAACGAUGAUUUUAUGUACUGGAACACUUAAGGCAAGCUGUGGGUCUACUCAUGUUCCCAUCAAAAUCAAAGGCAAAAUUCUCAUUGACUUCAGUGUGAACAGGCUCAAACCACGUAUACUUAAUAUGUUGAGUUCACCUUUCUUUCAUACAUAACUUGCUCAUUCUUAGCUAUUGCUGGCUUCUGCUCUGCAGAUAUUUUGAGCAUGUGUGCGAAGGUGGUUUCAGGAGUGUGUCCUGGUCCAUGCAGCUCUUGGGCAUGGGUCAGGUUAAAAAAAAAAAAAAAAAAAAAAAAAAAAAAGACCUGAUUAAGCUAAUUCUCAUAACUGUGGUCAUUAGAAAACUUGAUGAGACUAUGUGGUCAGAGCAGUGUGGGGGAUAUUGUUGGCACAAUAUACUCAGUAAUCUGAGUGCUAUGAAUUUGGAGAUGUCCUUAGAAUGUUGCAGUAGUGUAGUGGGUUAGCUUUUAAAGAUUGUUUUUCAAUGAGCAGAGGAGAAAGAAUGGUCUUGGGUUGAUAGCACUGGACUGGGACUCUGGAGAUUGGUGUUCAGUUCCUUACUCUGCCAGUGGAACCUUGGGCAAGUCAUUUCACCUCUCAGUGCUCCAGGUUCCCAUCUAUAAAGUGAGGAUGAUAGUACCUUACUGCCUCACAGGCGUGCUGUGUGAAUAGUCAUUAUUGCGGAUAAGGUACUCAGAUGCCUAUUUGAACCCAGUUAUGUGCCUUAUGCUGUCCGAGUCAACAAAAUUUAGGCCUGGAUAGACCCAGAUCCAAACUUGCCCAAACUUUGGAGUGUUUGGAUCCAAUGCUCUGGUUGUAGAGAUUGGCCUGAGAUGCCAAGUUUGGCUCAUAACAUCGUCAAAGACCCAUACAAGGGGGCUUGGAACCAGGUUCCAGAUUGGACCCAUAUCUGCUGAAAACUUAAUAGAUGUUGCUCAGGCUAUUGACAGAAAAGAAGCAAUAGAUGGAACCUACAGACAUCCACUCUGUGUGCUUGUAGCUAGACCUCUCUCUCAGGAGCUGUUGGCCUCACUGCCCAGUGUAUUCUUCACUGGCAAAGGGAGAAUGGGGUCCUCGUGGCUCAUUUGUCUUAACUCCUUUUACCUAUUUGGUGCUAGCUGUCACUGCUACGAUAAUGUCACCUGUUGGUCUUGACAACUAUAUAUAUUGGAUGUAUAUUUUUUCUGGCCAACCUGAUACAUUUCUCUGAAUAUGUUGCCCUGUUAGCUUACCCAGGGUUGCUGGAGAUUUUGCAUGAGGCAGAAGCCCCCAACCCUGACUCAGGGAUUCCAAGGACAGUCAUUGGGCUUUUGUCUACACCAGGUUUUCCAACCAUUAAAUUUUCCAUUCUUUUUGUGUGCUUGGUUACAAAUUAACUGCCAUGUCCCUCAAAUACAUCAGUAAAGAGCUGUUGAAAGAUUUUAUGUUAUUCACCUCUUGCAGACUGUUCUCUGGGCUCCCCUAAGAUGCUGCUGCACAUAAGUCAAUGGAAGUUGCACAUGAAGAUGUGAGGGCACAGUUUUAAUCCUUGAGACUCCACCCCUUAGAGAAUCCAAGGGAUCUCACCCGCUUAUUUUUUACGGGGGGGAAUUAAAAUGAAUGAAACAGAAUCAAAGAGAAGGCAUCAUUUCAGGCUGUCUUGUGAAAAAUGGAAAGGCGGUUACUUCACUUAGAAAACUUUUUUUUACAGCAACUUGAUUUUUUCCUAAGAAUGGUUAGUAGAUUGCAUUGACCUCCACCACACUAAUGUAAUAGCUGCUGUCUUGCUAGCGCUAAAGACCUACAUCUUUUGCACACCCUCCCUUUUCACCAAACUCCCAAACAAGACAUUUCUCUGUGCCUUGCUGGACUCUGGAGAAUCGCCCUGUUUUAACCAGUGGUGUCCCUUCCCCUUAAAGCUCUGAAUUGAGACCAAGGUCCUUGAGCCAAAAAAGGAGCCCAUCAGCCUAGUUGAAGGGUUUAUUGGGGGUUGUAGCCUGCAUUUCACCCACGGCCACUCACUCUUGUCCUUAGAUUGGUCACUGCAGUGUGGAGAACUCCAGAAGGCUUCCGUAAUCUACUUCUAAAAAUGUUCCAAACUAGGAUUCCAGAAGAUUUAUUUUUAGUGGCUGGUCCAUCUGCAUGGAACACCAUUGCCUAUCCUAUCAAUAAUGUGUUCUAGAGCCUCGGUCACCUAGAAUACUCCGGUCCUACAAAGCUUCAUAGAUUGAUUAUUUUCCCAAUAGACCCACAAACCUAAUUAGCUGAAAAAUAUUCUUGAAAUUUAAAGAUUUGAUCAUGAUAUUUCAGGAAAGACAGGGAUCUGAGCUUUAGCUUCAUUCAGGCAUGUUAUAUACAUUUUAGACCCUACUCCCUCUCUAAUGCGCACACAGCUGAAAGCUAAAAUUCAGACUAGUUUCAAGGAUGGCUGCUCUCUAACCUUACGGAGUGUUUGCCACUGUCAAAAGUAAUCGGAAUUCAACAUAAUGCCCAGCAUCAGAUUGACAAAAAUGCAAAAUAAAAUGAAAUUCUUCUAACAGUCCAAAGGCUUUCUAUUUCUAGAAGAGACUUCCUUUUAUUAAUCUCUUUCUCUCCCUGUCCAGUCUCCAAGUUUUAAACCUUCCUUGUCCCCUCCUGAUUUAGGUGUGGCAGGUUGUUUAGCAUCUUCUCUCUUGCCUGGAGGGAAGAUGCUAAAAAUACAGGGAUCAUUGUAAAUCCUGUUCUGUGACAACCCUGGCUAUUCCUUCCACUCCGCCAAAGCUCAAAUGUGAGAUGUAGAGUAGAAUGCAAAAUCUUAAAAUGAGGGACACAAGAAAAACGGUUGGCUCUAGGCACCUUUAAAAUGGUAUGUGGUUCACUUCUGGAUAUCUACAUUUCUUAUAUCCUUUACUUUCCUGCUACAUAUUUGUUCACCAUAUAGAAAGUGCACAAACUUGGGUAAAAUGGCGAAAAAUAUGGGUCUAAAAUAAAGUCUGUGUGAGCGAUAUGCUCCUAGGCGGCCAGGGAGAAGCAUGUCAAGACGCAGCUUGUCUGCAGUAGAGUUGUUUCAUACAGUUUCCUACCAGUAGUGCCUACCAGUGGGAAUACUGGUGUAAACUAGCCAGUAACUGUGUUUUCUAAUCUUGGUCAGCGCUGGUCUACAGGACAGGAUGGCUACGAAGUCAGUGGCCAUCUGCAGCGUUGUCUCCACCAAGUGUUCAAAAAUAAUGAAUCAGGCCUCUGAAAAUCAGGAGCUUUUUAAAAAAAAAUUAGUUUGUGGAUCUUUUUAUUUGCCUUCCGAUGUGAGGGCCUUUGAGUCCCAUUUUCAACCUUUACUCUAUAGCCACAAGGGCUAGAAACUUUUAUGGUGUUUUUUUUAAAAGAAAACAGAAAUUCUCAUGUAAUUGACUUCAGGAGCUGGGCUUUAAUACCAAAUGACAAGAGUUGGCAACUCUGUUUGCUCCAGAGCUUCCACCUUUGCCAGGUCCUUUGAAUCUGCGCUGGUGAGAGCGGCAGCUGGAAUUCUUAGGGUACUGACCUGGGUACAUAGUUUGCAAAUACUUUUUCCUUUUGGAAGUCACCUUUAUAACCAUUUCUCUUAACAAGUCAACAGUCCUGGACUUUCACAGGCCUGUCCGGACCGAGGACAUGGAUUUUGAGCAAUCUACAGAAUACUGCUUUUUGUUCCAACACUUAAAUGCAUGGCAUUUCAGCUGCAAAAUCACUAGUUCUUAAGCCUUUGACUACUAGAGAGUGAGGGAUUUCAGAGAAGACCAUUUGUGGUAAACCUAUGAGCUGUCUC
This is a long non-coding RNA of Gopherus evgoodei (Goodes thornscrub tortoise), 9905 nucleotides long. RefSeq lists it as uncharacterized. The record is from RefSeq and is a predicted model, not a curated record. The transcript has 2 exons. NCBI's taxonomy places the organism in Eukaryota, Metazoa, Chordata, Testudines, Testudinidae.